RNAcentral lists this ribosomal RNA (446 nucleotides) under uncultured bacterium. Its description in RNAcentral is "partial 16S ribosomal RNA". It matches the Rfam family "Bacterial small subunit ribosomal RNA", at positions 338 to 795 of the family's 1533-position model. The record is from RNAcentral.
CCUACGGGUGACAGCAGUCGAGAAUCAUUCACAAUGGGGGAAACCCUGAUGGUGCGACGCCGCGUGGGGGAAUGAAGGUCUUCGGAUUGUAAACCCCUGUCAUGUGGGAGCAAAUUAAAAAGAUAGUACCACAAGAGGAAGAGACGGCUAACUCUGUGCCAGCAGCCGCGGUAAUACAGAGGUCUCGAGCGUUGUUCGGAAUCACUGGGCGUAAGGCGUGCGUAGGCUGUUUCGUAAGUCGUGUGUGAAAGGCGCGGGCUCAACCCGCGGACGGCACAUGAUACUGCGAGACUAGAGUAAUGGAGGGGGAACCGGAAUUCUCGGUGUAGCAGUGAAAUGCGUAGAUAUCGAGAGGAACACUCGUGGCGAAGGCGGGUUCCUGGACAUUAACUGACGCUGAGGCACGAAGGCCAGGGGAGCGAAAGGGAUUAGAUACCCGAGUAGUC